RNAcentral lists this transfer RNA (60 nucleotides) under Cordylochernes scorpioides. RNAcentral describes it as "tRNA-Ser". The record is from RNAcentral. Lineage: Eukaryota; Metazoa; Arthropoda; Arachnida; Pseudoscorpiones; Chernetidae.
CCAUCGGCGGUUCAGUGGUAGAAUGCUUGCCUGCCACGGGUUCGAUUCCCGGCCGAUGCA